GAUGAACGCUAGCUACAGGCUUAACACAUGCAAGUCGAGGGGCAUCAGGAAGAAAGCUUGCUUUCUUUGCUGGCGACCGGCGCACGGGUGAGUAACACGUAUCCAACCUGCCCUUUACUCGGGGAUAGCCUUUCGAAAGAAAGAUUAAUACCCGAUGGCAUAAUGAUUCCGCAUGGUUUCAUUAUUAAAGGAUUCCGGUAAAGGAUGGGGAUGCGUUCCAUUAGGUUGUUGGUGAGGUAACGGCUCACCAAGCCUUCGAUGGAUAGGGGUUCUGAGAGGAAGGUCCCCCACAUUGGAACUGAGACACGGUCCAAACUCCUACGGGAGGCAGCAGUGAGGAAUAUUGGUCAAUGGGCGCUAGCCUGAACCAGCCAAGUAGCGUGAAGGAUGAAGGCUCUAUGGGUCGUAAACUUCUUUUAUAUAAGAAUAAAGUGCAGUAUGUAUACUGUUUUGUAUGUAUUAUAUGAAUAAGGAUCGGCUAACUCCGUGCCAGCAGCCGCGGUAAUACGGAGGAUCCGAGCGUUAUCCGGAUUUAUUGGGUUUAAAGGGAGCGUAGGUGGACUGGUAAGUCAGUUGUGAAAGUUUGCGGCUCAACCGUAAAAUUGCAGUUGAUACUGUCAGUCUUGAGUACAGUAGAGGUGGGCGGAAUUCGUGGUGUAGCGGUGAAAUGCUUAGAUAUCACGAAGAACUCCGAUUGCGAAGGCAGCUCACUGGACUGCAACUGACACUGAUGCUCGAAAGUGUGGGUAUCAAACAGGAUUAGAUACCCUGGUAGUCCACACAGUAAACGAUGAAUACUCGCUGUUUGCGAUAUACAGUAAGCGGCCAAGCGAAAGCAUUAAGUAUUCCACCUGGGGAGUACGCCGGCAACGGUGAAACUCAAAGGAAUUGACGGGGGCCCGCACAAGCGGAGGAACAUGUGGUUUAAUUCGAUGAUACGCGAGGAACCUUACCCGGGCUUAAAUUGCAGUGGAAUGAUGUGGAAACAUGUCAGUGAGCAAUCACCGCUGUGAAGGUGCUGCAUGGUUGUCGUCAGCUCGUGCCGUGAGGUGUCGGCUUAAGUGCCAUAACGAGCGCAACCCUUAUCUUCAGUUACUAACAGGUUAUGCUGAGGACUCUGGAGAGACUGCCGUCGUAAGAUGUGAGGAAGGUGGGGAUGACGUCAAAUCAGCACGGCCCUUACGUCCGGGGCUACACACGUGUUACAAUGGGGGGUACAGAAGGCAGCUAGCGGGUGACCGUAUGCUAAUCCCAAAAUCCUCUCUCAGUUCGGAUCGAAGUCUGCAACCCGACUUCGUGAAGCUGGAUUCGCUAGUAAUCGCGCAUCAGCCACGGCGCGGUGAAUACGUUCCCGGGCCUUGUAC
This 1364-nucleotide ribosomal RNA is filed under the name uncultured bacterium. RNAcentral's name for it is "16S ribosomal RNA". It matches the Rfam family "Bacterial small subunit ribosomal RNA", at positions 28 to 1386 of the family's 1533-position model. The record is from RNAcentral.